UGGGUUUGGAGGGAGAGG
This 18-nucleotide microRNA is filed under the name Corchorus capsularis. Its description in RNAcentral is "sRNA CCACVL1_21146". Lineage: Eukaryota; Viridiplantae; Streptophyta; Magnoliopsida; Malvales; Malvaceae. The record is from RNAcentral.